Molecule: ribosomal RNA, 442 nt
Filed under: uncultured bacterium
Lineage: Bacteria
Description: partial 16S ribosomal RNA
Rfam family: Bacterial small subunit ribosomal RNA
Source: RNAcentral
CCUACGGGAGGCAGCAGUAGGGAAUCUUUCACAAUGGGCGAAACCCUGAAGGAGCAACGCCGCGUGCAGGAUGAAGGCCUUCGGAUUGUAAACUGCUUUUGUAAGAGAAGAAUAUGAUGGUAUCUUAUGAAUAAGGAUCGGCUAACUACGUGCCAGCAGCCGCGGUCAUACGUAGGAUCCGAGCAUUAUCCGGAAUGACUGGGUGUAAAGAGUUGAGUAGGUGGAAUAAUAAGUAGCUGUGGAAAUCUGGUGGCUCAACCAUUCAGACUAUUAGCUAAACUGUUAAGCUCGAGACCGUUAGGGGUAACUGGAAUUUCGAGUGUAGGAGGGAAAGCAGUAGAGAUUAGAAAGAAAAACAAUAGCGUAGGCAGGUUACUGGGACGGUGCUGACACGAAGGCAAGAAAGCGUAGGGAGAAAACGGGAUUAGAUACCCGAGUAGUC